AUACUUACCUGGACGGGGUUGAUGGAUGAUCAAGAAGGCCCAUGGCCUAGGUCGGAGGGGCUCCUGCCUAAACUCAGCCACCCAAGUUGGUUGAGCCUAUGUCAUAAUUUGUGGCAGGAGGGCUAGUGUUCACGCGGCCCCUAC
This 144-nucleotide small nuclear RNA is filed under the name Eucalyptus grandis. Its description in RNAcentral is "U1 spliceosomal RNA". It matches the Rfam family "U1 spliceosomal RNA". Rfam says of the family: U1 is a small nuclear RNA (snRNA) component of the spliceosome (involved in pre-mRNA splicing). Its 5' end forms complementary base pairs with the 5' splice junction, thus defining the 5' donor site of an intron. Lineage: Eukaryota; Viridiplantae; Streptophyta; Magnoliopsida; Myrtales; Myrtaceae. The record is from Rfam by way of RNAcentral.